GAUGAACGCUGGCGGCGUGCCUAAUACAUGCAAGUCGAGCGAACAGAUGAGGAGCUUGCUCCUCUGACGUUAGCGGCGGACGGGUGAGUAACACGUGGAUAACCUACCUAUAAGACUGGGAUAACUUCGGGAAACCGGAGCUAAUACCGGAUAAUAUAUUGAACCGCAUGGUUCAAUAGUGAAAGACGGUUUUGCUGUCACUUAUAGAUGGAUCCGCGCCGCAUUAGCUAGUUGGUAAGGUAACGGCUUACCAAGGCAACGAUGCGUAGCCGACCUGAGAGGGUGAUCGGCCACACUGGAACUGAGACACGGUCCAGACUCCUACGGGAGGCAGCAGUAGGGAAUCUUCCGAAUGGGCGAAAGCCUGACGGAGCAACGCCGCGUGAGUGAUGAAGGUCUUCGGAUCGUAAAACUCUGUUAUUAGGGAAGAACAAAUGUGUAAGUAACUAUGCACGUCUUGACGGUACCUAAUCAGAAAGCCACGGCUAACUACGUG
Molecule: ribosomal RNA, 496 nt
Filed under: uncultured bacterium
Lineage: Bacteria
Description: partial 16S ribosomal RNA
Rfam family: Bacterial small subunit ribosomal RNA
Source: RNAcentral